AGUAGGUGAACACUAUAUCACAGCGGCUGUGCCGUUCCCCUCCUCUCCUCCCGCCUAGAUGUGUUAUCAUCUCACGCCACCACAAGAAGCCACUGAUGGACAGCAAAUAAUCUCCAUUUCCUCGUGAAGGACACUGAUGGAUGCCCCCAGCAUACCAGAAGCUCGUGAUGCUAGCCUGUUCUCAAGGACUCUCAUGCCCAACCAACUGGAAACGUUUCCUCGAGCAGGAACAGAGAAGGGUAAAGGAUAACUGGUGACUGUGGUGACUUCCAUAGAACCCAGAGUGCUUGAGAAGUGUGUGAAGGCAUCUGAGCAAAAAGGUUGUGAACAGUGAACCAAGGAACAUACUGUGGUGUGUUUCUGCUCACAAAUUUUCCAUUGAAUAAAGGCAUAAGCCGUUUAAUAGAGCUAACUUGUUGUGGGACUGUUUCUGACAAGAGGCAUGGGAGUUAGUCACAGCAAGUGGCCAACCUGCAAGCUCUUUGGGAGU
Lutra lutra (Eurasian river otter) is the source of this 490-nucleotide long non-coding RNA. RefSeq lists it as uncharacterized. NCBI's taxonomy places the organism in Eukaryota, Metazoa, Chordata, Mammalia, Carnivora, Mustelidae. The transcript is spliced from 3 exons. The record is from RefSeq and is a predicted model, not a curated record.